RNAcentral lists this ribosomal RNA (30 nucleotides) under Ditylum brightwellii. RNAcentral's name for it is "partial 5.8S ribosomal RNA". The record is from RNAcentral. Lineage: Eukaryota; Bacillariophyta; Thalassiosirophyceae; Lithodesmiales; Lithodesmiaceae.
GUACAACUUUCAGCAAUGGAUGUCUAGGCU